RNAcentral lists this long non-coding RNA (229 nucleotides) under Capsicum annuum. RNAcentral's name for it is "long non-coding RNA (CANN_LNC017068)". Lineage: Eukaryota; Viridiplantae; Streptophyta; Magnoliopsida; Solanales; Solanaceae. The record is from RNAcentral.
UUGGUCUUGCAUUCUUAGGUAUUACAGUUUUUAUGCAUUCAUGCUUAGUUAUUUUAUAUUGUUCAGUUAGUCCUUAUCUCAUGUGCACAUUACCCCAUGCAUUUCAGCCAGACCUCAUUUCAUAUACUAGUACAUUAAAAUUAUUUACCGCAUACUCUUCUUUGCAUUAUGAUGUCUUUUAUCAUAGGUUUGGCCGCUCAGUUUGCUGACCGCACUUAGAUAGUUCAGC